This 219-nucleotide ribosomal RNA is filed under the name Alexandrium margalefii. RNAcentral's name for it is "partial Bacterial large subunit ribosomal RNA". It matches the Rfam family "Bacterial large subunit ribosomal RNA", at positions 464 to 683 of the family's 2925-position model. The record is from RNAcentral. Lineage: Eukaryota; Dinophyceae; Gonyaulacales; Pyrocystaceae.
GGCUAAAUACUCCUAGCUGACCGAUAGUGAACUAGUACCGUGAGGGAAAGGCGAAAAGAACCCCGGUGAGGGGAGUGAAAUAGACCCUGAAACCGCGUACGUACAAGCAGUCGGAGCCUGUCUUUUGAUGGGUGACGGCGUACCUUUUGUAUAAUGGGUCAGCGACUUAUUGUAGCUAGCAAGCUUAACCGUUUAGGGUAGGCGUAGGGAAACCGAGUC